RNAcentral lists this ribosomal RNA (1605 nucleotides) under Salmonella enterica. RNAcentral describes it as "partial 23S ribosomal RNA". It matches the Rfam family "Bacterial large subunit ribosomal RNA", at positions 1292 to 2875 of the family's 2925-position model. Lineage: Bacteria; Pseudomonadati; Pseudomonadota; Gammaproteobacteria; Enterobacterales; Enterobacteriaceae. RNAcentral also lists the same sequence under 1 other name. The record is from RNAcentral.
GAAUGCUGACAUAAGUAACGAUAAAGCGGGUGAAAAGCCCGCUCGCCGGAAGACCAAGGGUUCCUGUCCAACGUUAAUCGGGGCAGGGUGAGUCGACCCCUAAGGCGAGGCCGAAAGGCGUAGUCGAUGGGAAACGGGUUAAUAUUCCCGUACUUGGUGUUACUGCGAAGGGGGGACGGAGAAGGCUAUGUUGGCCGGGCGACGGUUGUCCCGGUUUAAGCGUGUAGGUGUGUGUUCCAGGUAAAUCCGGUUCACUUUAACACUGAGGCGUGACGACGAGGCACUACGGUGCUGAAGCAACAAAUGCCCUGCUUCCAGGAAAAGCCUCUAAGCAUCAGGUAACAUCAAAUCGUACCCCAAACCGACACAGGUGGUCAGGUAGAGAAUACCAAGGCGCUUGAGAGAACUCGGGUGAAGGAACUAGGCAAAAUGGUGCCGUAACUUCGGGAGAAGGCACGCUGACACGUAGGUGAAGUGAUUUACUCAUGGAGCUGAAGUCAGUCGAAGAUACCAGCUGGCUGCAACUGUUUAUUAAAAACACAGCACUGUGCAAACACGAAAGUGGACGUAUACGGUGUGACGCCUGCCCGGUGCCGGAAGGUUAAUUGAUGGGGUCAGCGCAAGCGAAGCUCCUGAUCGAAGCCCCGGUAAACGGCGGCCGUAACUAUAACGGUCCUAAGGUAGCGAAAUUCCUUGUCGGGUAAGUUCCGACCUGCACGAAUGGCGUAAUGAUGGCCAGGCUGUCUCCACCCGAGACUCAGUGAAAUUGAACUCGCUGUGAAGAUGCAGUGUACCCGCGGCAAGACGGAAAGACCCCGUGAACCUUUACUAUAGCUUGACACUGAACAUUGAGCCUUGAUGUGUAGGAUAGGUGGGAGGCUUUGAAGUGUGGACGCCAGUCUGCAUGGAGCCGACCUUGAAAUACCACCCUUUAAUGUUUGAUGUUCUAACGUGGACCCGUUACCCGGGUUGCGGACAGUGUCUGGUGGGUAGUUUGACUGGGGCGGUCUCCUCCUAAAGAGUAACGGAGGAGCACGAAGGUUGGCUAAUCCUGGUCGGACAUCAGGAGGUUAGUGCAAUGGCAUAAGCCAGCUUGACUGCGAGCGUGACGGCGCGAGCAGGUGCGAAAGCAGGUCAUAGUGAUCCGGUGGUUCUGAAUGGAAGGGCCAUCGCUCAACGGAUAAAAGGUACUCCGGGGAUAACAGGCUGAUACCGCCCAAGAGUUCAUAUCGACGGCGGUGUUUGGCACCUCGAUGUCGGCUCAUCACAUCCUGGGGCUGAAGUAGGUCCCAAGGGUAUGGCUGUUCGCCAUUUAAAGUGGUACGCGAGCUGGGUUUAGAACGUCGUGAGACAGUUCGGUCCCUAUCUGCCGUGGGCGCUGGAGAACUGAGGGGGGCUGCUCCUAGUACGAGAGGACCGGAGUGGACGCAUCACUGGUGUUCGGGUUGUCAUGCCAAUGGCACUGCCCGGUAGCUAAAUGCGGAAGAGAUAAGUGCUGAAAGCAUCUAAGCACGAAACUUGCCCCGAGAUGAGUUCUCCCUGAGACUUAGAGUCUCCUGAAGGAACGUUGAAGACGACGACGUUGAUAGGCCGGGUGUGUAAGCG